Molecule: ribosomal RNA, 568 nt
Filed under: uncultured bacterium
Lineage: Bacteria
Description: bacterial SSU rRNA
Rfam family: Bacterial small subunit ribosomal RNA
Source: RNAcentral
CCUACGGGAGGCAGCAGUGGGGAAUAUUGGACAAUGGGCGCAAGCCUGAUCCAGCAAUGCCGCGUGAGUGAUGAAGGCCUUAGGGUCGUAAAGCUCUUUUACCAGGGAUGAUAAUGACAGUACCUGGAGAAUAAGCUCCGGCUAACUCCGUGCCAGCAGCCGCGGUAAUACGGAGGGAGCUAGCGUUGUUCGGAAUUACUGGGCGUAAAGCGUACGUAGGCGGUUAUUCAAGUCAGAGGUGAAAGCCCGGGGCUCAACCCCGGAACGGCCUUUGAAACUAGGUAGCUAGAAUCUUGGAGAGGUCAGUGGAAUUCCGAGUGUAGAGGUGAAAUUCGUAGAUAUUCGGAAGAACACCAGUGGCGAAGGCGACUGACUGGACAAGUAUUGACGCUGAGGUACGAAAGCGUGGGGAGCAAACAGGAUUAGAUACCCUGGUAGUCCACGCCGUAAACGAUNAUACUAGCUGUCCGGGUCCGACUUGGUGNGCCUGGGUGGCGCAGCUAACGCAUUAAGUUAUCCGGCCUGGGGAGUACGGUCGCAAAGAAUUAAAACUUAAAUGAAUUGACGG